AGUGAACGCUGGCGGUAGGCCUAACACAUGCGAGUCGAACGGCAGCACAGUAAGAGCUUGCUCUUACGGGAGGCGAGUGGCGGACGGGUGAGGAAUACAUCGGAAUCUACUUUUUCGUGGGGGAAAACGUAGGGAAACUUACGCUAAUACCGCAUACGACCUACGGGCGAAAGCAGGGGAUCUUGGGACCUUGCGCGAUUGAAUGAGCCGAUGUCGGAUUAGCUAGUUGGCGGGGUAAAGGCCCACCAAGGCGACGAUCCGUAGCUGGUCUGAGAGGAUGAUCAGCCACACUGGAACUGAGACACGGUCCAGACUCCUACGGGAGGCAGCAGUGGGGAAUAUUGGACAAUGGGCGCAAGCCUGAUCCAGCCAUACCGCGUGGGUGAAGAAGGCCUUCGGGUUGUAAAGCCCUUUUGUUGGGAAAGAAAAGCAGCAGGUUAAUACCCCGCUGUUCUGACGGUACCCAAAGAAUAAGCACCGGCUAACUUCGUG
This 492-nucleotide ribosomal RNA is filed under the name uncultured bacterium. RNAcentral describes it as "partial 16S ribosomal RNA". It matches the Rfam family "Bacterial small subunit ribosomal RNA", at positions 29 to 507 of the family's 1533-position model. The record is from RNAcentral.